AUUUCUACUUUAACAAUAGUUCUGACCUUUGAGUAAAAUUUGGUAAGUUCUAUUUGUUGGCGUAGUAUUA
Molecule: microRNA precursor, 70 nt
Filed under: Astyanax mexicanus (Mexican tetra)
Lineage: Eukaryota; Metazoa; Chordata; Actinopteri; Characiformes; Acestrorhamphidae
Description: miR-430 microRNA precursor family
Rfam family: miR-430 microRNA precursor family
Source: Rfam by way of RNAcentral